AAGAAGUUAUCCCACUUUCAAAUCAGUUGAUUCCAGUUUCCCAGUUUGGGAAUAGCACAGUUUCAUCGUCGUUCCAAUCAAACCAGGAUGAAUCACUUUGUGAGAAGCUUGAUUUGGAUACAUAAAGUGGUGGAGAAUCUCCAGGAAGUUGAAUAAAUCUCAUAUGAGUUGCAAGAAGAAGUUAUCCCACUUUCAAAUCAGUUGAUUCCAGUUUCCCAGUUUGGGAAUAGCACAGAUUCAUCGUCGUUCCAAUCAAACCAGGAUGAAUUACUUUGUGAGAAGGUUGAUUUGGAUACAUAAAGUGGUGGAGAAUCACCAGGAAGUUGAAUAAAUCUCAUAGGAGUUGGGAUGAAGAAGUGAUUCCAGUUUCCCAGUUUGGAUACAUAAAUCAGGUGCACUACAAGAAAAAUGUGUUUUAAUAGCGGACGAAUAACGCUAUAUAACGAUACUAUAGCGGUUUUUGAAGCGCUGUAUCAUCGCCCGUCAUAAUAAGUAAAGGACAUUACAUAGCGGUUUUAUGCUCUGCUAUCUUUUCUUCCGAUACGAUAGCGCUUUUUUUGUAUGCAAUUAAAUAUUCUUUAAUAGCGUAUUUUUAUUGUUAUUAUUACAUUAUUGAAAAAUUAAAAAAAAAAUAGAAAAAAUAUUUUAAAUAUUUUAAAUUGAAUUAUUCAUAAACUAAAAAUGGUUUACAUAUAUAAAAAAAAAAAAACAAAACUAAACCAAGCUUAGACCUAAACCUAUUUGCUAGCUAAACCUAAUAACAAAACCAUGCCGCUUUCAAGCUUCUUAACUCCGCCGCCUUCAAACACCAUUCGCUGUGACAACAAAGCCCUCGCGUCUCUCUUCUUUCCUUCGACGUCGGAGAUGACGACGGAAUCACCAUGGCUCUUCCCACUCACUGUCGUCGAGCUCGUCUUCGGCUCACCACUGCCAAGCUCAUCCCAUACACCACCGUCAUGUUCGUCUCCGGCUUAUCUAUCAUCUCCGCGCACCUUUGUCUCAACUUCAAGAUUUUCUAUUCACUGACCAUACUCCACCAACUAUAGACAGCAAGCUCUCCAACUAAUAAAAAAACGAUUUAAUCAGUUCUAAGCCCUAGAAAUUGAUUUCAGAUCUAUAUUGAUUUCUACCUGUUUCUGGAUCGAUGAACAAUAGAGAAGCAAUGUAUUGAAGUUUCUGUGUGGAUUGAAGACCUUCGCGACACUUCUUGAGCAAGCUCUCCUACACUUGGAUUUCCAGAUCUCGACCAUGUUGUCUUCUCAUCCUUCCUUCUUCGGAAUCCACCGCCAUUUGAACAAGAGGAAUAAGAAGAGACCGCGGUGGUAGUGGUUUAGAGAAUAAGAAAGAAAGAUGUGCAGAGAUACAUAAAAGAAGAAGAGAUAUCCGCCAUUUGAACAAGAGGAAUAAGAAGAGACCGCGGUGGUAGUGGUUUAGAGAAUAAGAAAGAAAGAUGUGCAGAGAUACAUAAAAGAAGAAGAGAUAUGUUGAUGGCGAAGGGAAGAAGAACAAAAUAGAAAGGAAAGGAAAAAAAUCUGAGGCAGAAAUAAAUUAGAAAAAUUAAUUAAUUAACUGUGGCCGUUGGAUCAACAUUUAUCAAAGGCUGAAAGUAGCGAUCUUUGUCACCCCACAUUGACCAAUCAGAAAACAGUUAGUGGAUCACUAACUUUAGAUCCAAAAGAAGAUCGUGCGGUUCGUAUAUAACCAUUAGUCCAAGUCCAAAAAUUUUAAACUGUAAUAUGAAAUUAGUUUAAAGGUUUAAAGUAAAAGAAUAUAAGUAAAUGAAAUUAGUUUAAAGGUUUAAAUGUUUGAGUAUAGGGUUUGAAAAGUUUGUCUUUGUUGACAAAAAAAAAAAAAAGUUUGUCUUUGGAUUUUAGACUUAAAGUAUGAGUUUGGAAUAAAGGUUUGAGUAUAGGGUUUGAGGAUUAAAGGUUUAGAGUAUUGAUUUAAUAUUAAUUUUUGAAAAAAAAUAAUUUUUGAAUUUUUAUUUAGUGUUGAGAUUUUUUUUAAUUACUUUAUAUUUAAAAUUUGGAGUUUAGAAUAAAUGUAUGAGUAUUGGGUCUAAAAGUUAAAGGUUUGGGAUAUUGAUUUUAAAAUUUGAGAUAAAAUUUGGAAAUGAUUAAUUUUUGAGUUUAUAUCUAACAUUUGAAGUUAAAUUUAAGAUUUGGUGUUAAAAUAGAGUUUACAUUUGUAUUUAGAGUUUAAAAACUUGUUUUAGGGUUGAGAGAUUUAAAAACCAAACAUAGCGUUUUUAAUCAUGUUUUGUUAUCAAAACCCAAGUGAUACAUAUAAAACCUUAUGUUAUCAUAGCGUUUCUAAAUAUACCACUCUAUCAUAGCGUUUCCAAAUAUACAAACGCUAUCUAAAACUAAUGGGUAUGUCAACUAUAGCAUAAUCGUAAAAAACGUUAUGCCGGUCUGCUAUUAAAACUCAUUUUUCUUGUAGUGGUGAUUCCAGUUUCCCAGUUUGGGAGUACCACAACUUCAUCGUCGUUCCAAUCAAACCAGGAUGAAUUACUUUGUGAGAAGCUUGAUUUGGAUACAUAAAGUGGUGGAGAAUCACCAGUGAAAGUUUUUGAGAUUUGUUUAAGUCAUUAUGAGAAUUAUGAAGAAGGUGAAGAGUAUUGAGAGAGAGAGAGAGGAAGUGAAUCGCAUAAGACUAAAGAGAAGAGGAACUCAUUUCCUUGAUACAUUUUGUGCCUGGUUACAUCCUUAAUAUAGACUACAAGUUGCUAUACUAAGACAAACAAGAAACUAUAAACAAUGGAGACAAAUAAGACAAGCUGAGCUCGGACAGGUGAGGUGAUAGUGACCUCUCGCCAAUCUCUCUCUUCCUUAACCUCACAUGUGCUCUUGCUUUGGGGAAAUCGGCCAAUUCCUACAUCAACAAGGACCAACGGUCCCGAUCAGUACAUAAACAUGUUACCUGUGCGAAAACAUACAUCAACUACUAGAAAAUUUAAUUUUCAUACGCAAACUUUCAAAAUUUAGUUUUAUCAUACAUUGACUUAAUUUCCGUUAGUCAAACGUUGAGCUGUCGUUAACCAGUACAAAAACAUACAUCAACUAAUACAAAAUUAAAAUUCAAUACACGAACUUUCGAAAUCUGUUUUUAACAUACACUAAAGCUUGACAUGCGCGUCCGUGCGGAUAUUUGUAGUUAAUUUUUUUAUAAAUUGUUUAGUGACAUUCCUAAAUAUAUAAUUUUUUGUUAAUUAUUAUGUUACUAUACAUAAAAACCAAAGCCAUCCGGAUCUGAAAGACCCUAUUCGAAUCUCACCCAAAAUUUUAUAAUACCCGAACAAAGCAUAAUUUCAAAACCUAAAAAAAUUCGAUAUCCGAAAGAACCAAUCCAUACCCAACCGUAUACUUGAUAUCCAUAUCUUAAUGAAGUAGUUAAGAAGUAUAAAAAAAUGUAAAAGAUAUAAUAAAACACUUAAAAAUAGGUAAGUUCUGUUUUAUAUUUUUAUAAGAUAUGCUGUCAAAUUAUUUGAAAAAAAUGCAAUUAAUAAAGUAGUUAAGUUGAGUGAAAAUAAGGAAAGAAAAGAUGUAAUAAAUCUGUUGAAAAUAAUGUUAGUUUUAUUUUGUAAUUAAAUUUAAUAAAAUAGAUUUACCUAAUUUCCACUAGUCAAAUAAUACCGAAAAUAAAUGGUAUGUCAUGUAUUGAUUAAGUAAAGUUUUUUAUUGUAUUAUGUGAUAAUUAAACCAUAGUACGUAGUAAUUGACAGAGAGAAAUGAAAAUGUUUAGCUUAUCGAAGAAAUUCUCUUUACUCUUUGUUCAAUUUUGUCUUCUUUCAUUUUUUUGGUGUUAGUGUUUUCUGUUGUCGUAAAAGUUGAAGAAAAAAUUAAAGAGAAAAACUAACUAAUAAAUUACACACAAAACAAAUCGUUUGACAUACAUGAUUUAUUUUUCUCAUUCAAUUACCGCGUAAUACAGUUUAAUUACCACAUAAUACAUCAAAAACCUUACUUAAUCAAUACGUGACAGACAAUUUAUCUUCGAUAUUAUUUGACUAGUUGAAGUUAGGUAAAUAUCAAGCUUUAGCGUAUGUUAAAACCAGAUUUCAAAAGUUCAUGUAUUGAAUUUGAAUUUUGUAUUAGUUGAUGUAUGUUUUUGCACAAGUAAAGUGUUUAUGUAUUGAUAUGUAUCAUUGGUCCCUGUUCUUGUAGGAAUUAGCCGAUUUUCUAUUACCGGUUAACGACAACUCAACGUUUGACUAACGGAAAUUAGGUCAAUGUAUGAUAAAUUAAAUUUUGUACUAGUUGAUGUAUGUUUUCGCACAGGUAACAUGUUUAUGUACUGAUCGGGACCGUUGAUCCUUGUUGAUGUAGGAAUUAGCCGAUUUCCCUCUUGCUUUGUUCCUUAGCUUCCAACGGUCACCUUCUUUAUAUUAAACAACUCCAGGGACUUAGGAUGCUCUUACACGUGAUCUUAUGUCAAUGCCUUACCAUUACUUGCCUUGAUAUCCAAGCUAGGUCAAGGGAGAGAUAUCCGUACACUCUUGUACGGAUGCGCCACUUAAUUCCUCAUCAAGCAUGCUUCUCUUGAUCUCUACUUCUGGUUUAUACUCUGAAUGUCUUAAUGUCAACACUCCCCCUCAAGCUUGACAGUGGUGAGUGUCAAGCUUGGAAAGACAUGAAGUAUUCCCUCAUUAAAACCUUUACUUGGAAAAACCACUUGGGAUAAAAACCAAGCAAAGGAAAAAGAGUAGAAUACUCCAUGGUGAGGGGAUCAUUGACAUGGAAUGUUUAUGAGUCCAAGCCUUGGAAGAAUGGACUCACAAACUUUGCUGCUGGCUGCCUUGGUGAAGAUGUCAGCCAGCUGAUCCUCACUUCUUGUGUAACAUGGGAGGAUCACUUGUUGCUCUACUGCUUGUCUCACCUUGUGGCAGUCUACUUCUAUGUGCUUUGUUCUCUCAUGGAAGACUGAGUUGGAUGCAAUGUGUAUUGCGGCUUGGUUGUCACAAUGCAUGGUCAUUGGAGUAGUGAUCUCAAUCCCCAAGUCGCCUAGAAGCCCCUUAAUCAAGAUAAGCUCACUAGUUAACUUCCUCAUUGAUCUGUAUUCUGCUUCAGCACUUGAGCAAGACACUACCUUCUGCUUCUUGCUCUUCCAUGUGACCAAAUUUCCUCCUAUGAAUGUACAAUAGCCAGUGGUUGACCUUCUGUCCACUCUGUCCCCAGCCCAAUCCGCAUUACAAUAUCCAAUCACCUCAGUGUUUUUGUUGCAAGCCAUCCACACACCUUGACCCGGAGCCUCUCUCAAGUAUCUUAGGAUUCUUUCCACCAUGUUCCAAUGAUGAACCUUGGGAGUUUGCGUGUGCUGGCUUACUUGAUUAACUGCAAAGCACACAUCUGGCCGAGUAAUGGUGAGAUAUAUCAGCUUCCCAACCAUCCUCCUAUACUGCUUGACAUCCUCAAAUGGAGUGUCAUCAUACUCCCCCUCUCGCAAUACUUUGUAGCCUUCCUCUAGUGGUGUCUUGGCCUGUCUUCCUCCAAGGUCUCCUACCUCAUUUAGGAUGUCCAAGGUGUACUUUCUUUGGGACAGAAACAAUCCUUCCUUUGAUCUGCACAUCUCAAUGCCGAGGAAGUACUUCAGCUCUCCUAGAUCCUUGAUGUCAAAUGCAGUCUUGAGGAAUGUCUUGGUUGAGUUGAUUCCCUCCUUGUUACUACCAGUGAUGAUGAUAUCAUCCACAUAGACUAGGAUUACCACAAUCCCUUGCUUGCUUGUGAGAGUAAAGAGUGUAUGAUCAGCUUGAGACUUCACAAAGCCUCUUCCAUUCAGUGUAGUACUCAGCUUGUGGUACCAGGCUCUUGGUGAUUGCUUUAAGCCAUAGAUAGCCUUCCUGAGUCUAAGAACAUUCCCUGGUUUCACCAUCUCUUCCAUUCCGGGAGGUGGCCUCAUGUAUACUUCAUCUUCUAGUUCACCUUGCAAGAAAGCAUUCUUCACAUCCAUUUGCCAAAGAUCCCACUCUAGGUUCACUGCUUGUGAGAGAACUAUCCGGAUUGUAUGAAGCUUGGCCACUGGUGCAAAGGUGUCUAGAUAGUCUUCUCCAUACACUUGUGUGUAUCCUCUUGCCACCAGCCUGGUCUUCUUUCUUUCUGGUUUCCCAUUUGCAAGAUACUUGAUGGUGUGUAUGAGUCUACUGGUCACGGCUUUCUUCCCUCUUGGAAGCUCUGUCUCAUACCAGGUGUUGUUUCUUUCCAUAGCUCCCAUUUCAUCAUUCACUGAUUCCCUCCAUUCAUCAUUGUCCAUAGCUUCUGCAUAUGUUCUUGGUAUCCAUUCCUGAUCCAAUGAACCCACAAAGGCUUGAUGUUCUUCUGGAUAGUAAGCAAGGGAGCACACGGCACUGGGUGGGUGAGCUACUGCCUCUGCGUUGAAGUAUACUCUAGUGUUGUUCCAGUUUGAAGCCGGUUUCCUCUGUCUUGUGCUUCUCCUAAGCUGCUGCACCUCUUGUACAUCAUCUUGUCCACUUGAUUCGGCUCCUCCAGAGUUCACAUCAGCGGUUUGGUCAGCCUCUUGCUGCAUCUUCUCAUCCGGAUCAUGAACGUUAGGAUCAUUGCUCUCACCCUCAUGAUCAUUGUUGUUCCCCCCUUCAGGAUCAGGAUGAGGAUGAGGGGUUGUUGUAGAUUCUUGUGGAGCUCUCACUGUCUUCGGAACAGCUCCAGUCUCCUGAGUGCCAGCAGAUGGAAACAAACUGAUUCCCAAGUUCUGCAUAAGCAUAAGCCGCCUUAGUGUGUCUGCUCUGUCCGAGGAAGGUUGAGAGAGAUCCUUGAGCUCAUCCCAACUUUUCUUCUCAAAGUAUCCUCUGGAUUCCAAAAACUUUACAUCUCUGGAGACUAAGACCCUCCUGGCCUCUGGAACAUAGCAUUUAUACCCCUUUUGGGUAGUGGAAUAGCCAAGGAAAACUGCCUUGGUGCUCCGUGGCUCAAGCUUGUUUCUCUGUCCAUCUGGCUGCAAGACAUAACAAAAGCAACCAAAUACACGUAAAUGAUCAAUAGAGGGUUUUCUUUUGUUCAGUACCUCAUAUGGUGUGAGAUCACCAAGGAUUCUGGUUGGGGUGCGGUUGAUCAGAUAACAUGCUGUCAUGACUGCAUCACUCCAGAACCGCUUAGGAACAUUGGUCUGAAACAUCAUGGAUCUGGCCACGCCCAUAAGGUGUCGGUUUUUCCUCUCAGCCACCCCAUUCUGUUGGGGUGUAUAUGGACAGCUCGUUUGAUGAAGUAUUCCAUGCUUGGCUAGGUGAUUUUUGAAACCAUGACUUGUGUAUUCUCCCCCAUUGUCUGACCUGAACACUUUGAUCUUAACAUUGAAUUGAUUAGUUAUGUAAGUUUGGAAGUUAAUGAAAGCAUCUAGCACUCUAUCUUUAGUUGGAAUCAUAGUCAGCCAAGUAUAUUUUGAUUUCUGAUCUAUAAAUGUGACAAAAUACUUAUGAUUCUCCCUAGAUAUGCAUGGUGCAGUCCAAACAUCAGAGUGUAUAAGAUCAAAGCAAUUUUCAUAGAUUGUAGAUGACUUAGGGAAAACGGUCUUGCAAUGUUUACCAAGGAUACAAGCUUCACAGCCAUCAUUUUUAAAAGAAAUAUCAGGUAACAACAAGUUCAGUGCACGGGAAUGAGGAUGGCCUAGCCUAGCAUGCCACAAUACAUCAUGAUCUAAAACAGGAAUUGAACUAAAAGCUGAAGAUAAAUAAGAAGGAGUCUUGGCGUCUUCAAGAAGGUAGAGAUCUCCCUUUGUCACACCUUUGCCAAUCAACUUAAGAGUCUCAAUAUCCUGAAACACAACUUCAUUAGGACUAAAUAUGACAUUACAAUUUAGAUCGGUAGUAGCCCUUUUUCCAGAUAGAAGGUUAGAGGCAAAAGUAGGCAUGUAGAAAGCUUUAGAGUCUUUAUCAAACAGCUUAAGUGUUCCUACUCCCUUAAUUGGAAUUUUAUCACCAUUAGCUAUCAUCGCAUUGCCUAUCACAGGUUCUAUGUUACUAAUCAAGUUAACAUCACUUAUCAUAUGGUGAGAGGCGCCUGAGUCUAUAACUAAAGGCUUAACUCUCUCAGUUUGGUGAGCUACUUGAUAAGAAGUAAAGAGACCUCUAGGCGUGUGAUAAGUAGCAUUAAGAGAAGUUCCAAGGGUGUUACCGGACUCCUUAAGAGCUUUGAUGAGAGCCUCAAUGUCAGACUUCUUGAUGGUAUCAUCAUAGCCAUGCUUCUUCUCCUCAAUAGCUUGAGAGCGGUUGGAUGUCUCUCCAAUGUCACCCGAGUAGUUGGCCCUUCCUUCAGUUCUGAAUUUGGCCGGUUUGAGAUGUGGGUGAAGGAUCCAGCACUUGUCCUUCCCAUGACCCUUCUUCUUGCAGUGGUCACACACCCACACCUUCUUAUCCUCCGGCUUGUAGUAUCCUUUGUUGGCUACUCCGGCAGGUUUGUUCUCGGCUCCUUCAGCUUGAUUGGCCAUCACCAUCUCUCCCUUUCUCUUAAAGAGACCCACUGAGCCGUGCUCCUUUUGAAUCUCAGCACACACUUCAUCAAGGGAGGGAAGCUCCUUGUUCCUCAGUAUGUGCUUGAUUAGGUCAUCAUACCCCGGGUUAAGGGUAAGUAGUAAGGCAAAGACCUUAUCCUGCUCUCUCCUCUCAUGGAGAACAUCUGGGUCGACAGUGGCUGGCCUGAGCAUCUCUAGCUCAGCCCAUAGGGACCGGAACUUCCCAAAGUGAGCAUCAAAGUCUGUGUCCUCUUGACUGAGGGAGUUGAUGGCUCCUUUCACUUCAUACACCUUGCUUAUGUUGGAUUUAUUGGCAUACACCUUCUUAAGAGUGUCCCACAACUCUUUGGAAGUCUCACAAAAGGCAUAAGCCUCUUGGAGAGAAGGGGCGAGGCUAUUCUGGAUGAUAGACAACACCAUGAGGUCCUCCUGACCUUUCUUCUUCUCCCCAGCAUCCGCAAUCACCACCUCUUUGCCAUCCUCUCCUAGGACAGUCUUCUUGGUGGGGCGGCCUUCUUCAACAAUUUCCCAAAGACCUCUGCCUCCGAGAGCUGUUUUGGCAAGUCUUGCCCAUGUCAGGUAGUUAGGACCCUUGAGUGUGACUGGUAUCAUCACCAUCUUUGUGUUCUCAGAGGUAUCCAUCAAGAGAGAAAGAAAAGAAAAGGUCUUUGCUAUUUUUGGCAAAUUCUGGAAACAAAGAAUCAAGAACAAGAUGAACUUUGCCAAAAAUAGAAUUAGAACUCAGAGAAUUUGCGGAAGAAAGAAAAGUUUUAGGUCUCAAGAGUAAGGUUGCUCUGAUACCAUGAAAGUUUAUGAGAUUUGUUUAAGUCAUUAUGAGAAUUAUGAAGAAGGUGAAGAGUAUUGAGAGAGAGAGAGAAAGUGAAUCGCAUAAGACUAAAGAGAAGAGGAACUCAUUUCCUUUAUUCAUUUUGUGCCUUGUUACAUCCUUAAUAUAGACUACAAGUUGCUAUACUAAGACAAACAAGAGACUAUAAACAAUGGAGACAAAUAAGACAAGCUGAGCUCGGACAGGUGAGGUGAUAGUGACCUCUCGCCAAUCUCUCUCUUCCUUAACCUUACAUGUGAUCUUGCUUUGUUCCUUAGCUUCCAAUGGUCACCUUCUCUAUAUUAAACAACUCCAGGGACUUAGGAUGCUCUUACACGUGAUCUUAUGUCAAUGCCUUACCAUUACUUGCCUUGAUAUCCAAGCUAGGUNNNNNNNNNNNNNNNNNNNNNNNNNNNNNNNNNNNNNNNNNNNNNNNNNNNNNNNNNNNNNNNNNNNNNUAUCACUUUUAGUGAUGUGUAGAGUAAUCUGAGUGUUUAGGAAAGAUUAGAAGAGAUUUGGAGAAGAUUAAAGUAUGAAAUGAGAUUAAGAGUCUAAAGAGAAAACUAGAGAGAGACUAAGAGAGACUCAUAACUUGCUUGAUUUUAUUAAUGAUGAGGUUACAAUAUAUAUAGAGAGAUCAGAUACAAGGGUUUCCAUUUUGAUCACUAUUCUAAGCAUGUGAAGUCAAGGGAAGAGGCUCCUCAUUUCAAACUCAGCCAAUGAGAGUGUGAUCGUGUGUGAGGCAUCUUGGACUAAGAUGCUUUGCCUUUCCAGCCUGUCACAGCCUGUCAAGGCUCUCCACCUUAUCCAUAACCUUAUCAACCUCAGCGCACACUCUCCUCUUCAUGGUAAGUUCCCCCUUUACCCAUUUCACUCUCAAGUAACUCCUUUCACUCAGGUAACUUCCUUUUAACCCUUUUUACCACAGUACCUAAUAUUUACUGUGGUAACUUUCUCCACCCAAGUAACUUCAACUCUUCAUAACUCCUCUUCAUCUUAACACUCUCCCUCAAGCUUAGCUUUGUGAAAGUUUAAGCUUGGACAGCCAUGAGAUCUUCCUCAUUAAAAACCUCACUAAGGAAAACCCAUUGGUACAAAACCUUAAUGAGGGAAAAAGAGUAAAGAUCUCACAGCUAAGGGGAUCAGCUCCUUCUCUUCCCAAGAUCUAUGAGUCCCAAUCUGAUGUGAAUGGACUCCAUAGUCUUUUGUCUCGCAGCCUUGGUGAACACAUCAGCCAACUGAUCUUCACUUCUCGUAUAGCAAGGCAAGAUCACUCCUAGCACAAUCAUCUGUCUCACUUUGUGGCAAUCAACCUCAAUGUGCUUGGUCCUCUCAUGGAACACCGAGUUGGAUGCAAUGUGAAUGGCAGCUUGAUUAUGACAAUGCAUUGUCAUUGGAGUGGCUUGAUCAAUCUCCAAGUGCUUCAAGAUGCCUUUGAUCCAUACCAACUCGUUUGUGAGCUUAAGCAUGGCUCUAUACUCAGCUUCAGCACUUGAACAUGACACCACCUUAUGCUUCUUGCUCUUCCAAGUCACCAAGUUGCCUCCAAUGAAUGUGCAAUAGCCGGUAGUUGAUCUCCUGUCAGCUCUAUCUCCUGCCCAAUCAGCAUCACAAUAGCCCACCACUUCUGAGCUUCCAUUGCAUCCCAUCCAAACCCCUUGAUCCGGCGUGUUGAGAUGAGGUAAUAAAGAGAGGAGACAUUGAUAGAGAAAGAGGAUUGAGGAAUACAGUAACUUUGGAGUUUUACCACAGUAACUUUAGUUUUACUGUGGUAACUCAGUUAAAGCUUGGAAAGUGAUCUUGCUUCACUUUGGAGAGUUACCCACGACCAAGGAGCUCUUGGAUAAGGAAGGAGCAGUCUGGAUAAGGUUUCCUCAAACUAGAGAGGCUGGAGACAGGCUGUAAAGUAGACAGCAUCUAGUAAAAGAUGCCAAAGGGAUCAAGCAUGUGAAGACUCCCAUUGGAUGCUUUUGGAUGGCUCUCUUUGACUACACAUGCUCUGAAUCUCUUUCUUAUCUUAUGGAUUUCGAAAUGUAUUGUCUCUCUCACAAAAAUAUGUUGUAAACCUCAUCUUUAAUAAUUAAUGGAGUUUUGAGUCUCUCUCUUUAUUCUCUCACUAAAAUCUCUUAAUCUCUUUAAUCUUUUCAUCUGAUUAUCUCUGAUUAUUUGAAUCAUGCUCUAAUACACAAAAGUGUAUAUGGUAUCAGAGCCAGGUUGGCAAAAAGGGGGUGAGUGUGAUUUCUUUUUUCAAAAUCAGAGUGUUCUUGAGUGUUCUUGGGAUUAUUGAGGUUUCUGGGUAUGUGUGUUGUCUAUUCUUUUGUGGCUGGGUUUAUUUGAGAUUCUCUGGUGGAAACAUGGAUAUGAAGCACGAAUCUAGUGGAGUAGUGAAGAUUCAAGAAGAAAACAAGUGGGUUUGGCCAAGAUGGGUAAAGACAGCUUUGGGAAGCUGUGAGAUUUGGAGUAAUCAAGUAAAGGGAGAACCUUUAAUGGAGAGAGCUGCUGAUGGGGGUCAGACAGCAAGGUUGAAAUGUGAAGAUCAGUUGAGUCUUGAAGAAAGUAUAUCUCUUGAGAAGAUUGAAGAUGUUUAUGAGAACAAGAUCAAUCUAAGGAGGAUGUAUGAAGUCAGGAAGAUGAUCUGUGAGUUGAAACAAGGGAAAGAAGGUUUCAAUCAGCAUGUGAAAAAGCUGAGAUGUUUGUGGUCGGAGUUACAAAGCUUGAGACCAAGAAGUUGUGAUCCGAGAGUGCUAGAAGAGUGGCGAAAGCAAGAUGUUGUCUUCAGCCUCCUUGCAAGCUUGGAUUCAUCUUAUGGCUGGUUGGUAAAGCUUAUUCUCAAGGAAGAGAAGCUACCCAACAUGGAAGAAGUGUGUGUACUUGUUCAGAGGCUUCAUCAAGUGAUGGAAGAGAACAAAGAGAUAACUUGGAGUAAGGAGGGUGCUAAAAGGAAGAAGGGAAGGCUGAGACGACGUUCUAAGGCUCAGAUCAGAAGAGGAAGGUGUUGGAAGAGAAGCAUACUGUCUGGUUAUCAAGGUAGCUAUGGUACUAUGAAGAUGGGCAGAGAAGAAGCACAACAGAUUCUUAUGGGAGAGUGUUCUUACUCAGCUUACAUGGGAGAAUCUGUAGAGAGCAGUGGGGUCAUGAGGAAGCUAGAGACCAAAGGAGCGGAUGAGCGUGUCACAAAGGAUGAAUGGGAUGAGUUUGUCAAGUAUGUGUAUGCUUUGGCUACGGCCCGGAGACAAGGUGCUCCUGCCAAAUCAUCCACAUCCAACAAACCCAUCAUUGUUGAUUCUGGAGCAAGUCAUCACAUGAUUAGUGAUAGAAGCUUAAUGAGUGAUGUAAAGAAAGCCACUGGGGGUGUGAUGAUAGCCAAUGGAGAUAGGAUUCCAAUAGAAGGGGUUGGAAAGCUCAAGCUAUUUGACAAAGACUCAGAUGCCUUCUACAUGCCACAGUUUGCUUCAAAUCUGGUAUCUGUGAGGAAAGCCACGAUUGAUCUUGGCUGUCAAGUAGUAUUCAGGCCAGAUGAUGUUGAGUUCCAAGAUUUGAAGACUGGAAGGGUCAUUGGGAGAGGAGACAGCAAGAAUAAUCUAUACCAGCUCCAAUUGGCUAAGAUUUCUAAACCCUUUGAUUCUAUGUGUUUGAGUAGUACUUAUGAGAAGAUUGAUAGUAUGACUUGGCAUGCUAGAUUGGGUCAUCCUCAUGCUCGUGCUAUUGAAUUGAUAAUUCCUAAUAUGUCAUUUAAUCACUUGGAGUGUGAAGCAUGCAUAUUAGGAAAGCAUUGUAGGACUGUUUUUCCAACAUCAGAAACUACUUAUGAGCAUUGCUUUGAUCUAGUUCAUUCAGAUGUGUGGACUGCUCCUUGUUUGUCUAGAGAUAGCCAGAAGUACUUUGUGACAUUCAUUGAUGAGAAGUCUAAGUAUACUUGGCUUACAUUGCUUCCAUCUAAAGAUAGGGUGCUAGAAGCAUUUAUGAACUUCCAAGCAUAUGUAUCUAAUCAAUACAAUGCUACUGUGAAGGAGAUCAGAUAAUGGAUGUGAAUACAUCAGCAAUGCCUUCAAGAGUCAUCUAGCCAAGCAUGGGAUUGUGCAUCAGACUAGCUGUCCUUAUACACCACAGCAGAAUGGUGUAGCUGAGAGGAAGAACAGGCACUUGAUGGAGGUUGCUAGAUCAAUGAUGUUUCAUGCAAAUGUCCCAAAACGUUUUUGGAGUGAUGCUGUGCAGACUGCUUGCUAUCUCAUCAACCGGGUUCCAACCAAGAUAUUGAAGAAUCUGUCUCCAUUUGAAGUGUUGAACAAGAGCAAACCUGUCAUUGAUCACCUACGUGUCUUUGGGUGUGUGUGCUAUGUCAUGGUUCCAGGAGAGCAGAGAAACAAGCUGGAGGCAAAGAGUACUAAGGCUAUAUUCAUUGGUUACUCUAUCACUCAAAAAGGGUACAAGUGCUAUGAUCCUGAAGCAAGGAGAGUGAUGGUAUCUAGAGAAGUGAAGUUUGUUGAAACAAAAGGUUAUUAUGAAGAAAAAGAGUGGAAAAAUCUGAAGGAUUUGUCUCAAGCUCCAUCUGAUAAGGCAACAAUACUGAGAGUGUUGUUGGAGAAGCUCGGGAUAGGGUUGUCCCAGGAUCAGGAACUCGGCAGGAGAGAGUCUUCCAAUCAGACUGGUGGAGCUGGAAGAACAACUCCUCUUGAUCAUGAGAGGGGGAAUGGAACUGAAUCUGGUGAGCAAGAGCAAAACCAAGAGGAUUCAGGUCUUCAUGAUCAAGUUGAGAACAAUGUUCAGUCUAGUGGAGAAGUGGAUGAGGUUCAGUCUAGUGGAGAAGUAGAUGAGGUUCAGUCUAGUGGAGAAGAACAAGUCGGACCGGCCAGUUCAGAAGAUGAGCAAGUGGAGCCGGCUAGUGUGCAAACUGAAGAUCAGGUGAAAGCUUUGAGGAGGAGCACAAGGAUAAAGAGGGAUCCUUCCAACUGGGUAAACACGAGAGUGUACUACAAUGCCCAGGCUGUGGAGCAUCCUUCUCAAGCCGUGUGUUCCUUUGCUGAGUUUUCAGAGGAGCAUUAUGCGUUUAUGAUUAGUCUGGAUGAGAGUUAUGUGCCAAGGACUUAUGAAGAAGCUAUGUUAGACAAGGAAUGGAAAGAAUCAGUGGGAGCUGAAGCAGGUGCUAUGAUCAAGAAUGAUACAUGGUAUGAGAGUGAGCUACCUAAGGGAAAGAAGGCUGUAUCUAGUAGAUGGAUCUUCACAAUCAAGUAUCUAGCAAAUGGACAGAUUGAUAGGAAGAAGACCAGACUGGUUGCAAGAGGAUUUACACAAACCUAUGGAGAGGAUUACAUUGAUACCUUUGCACCAGUAGCUAAGCUGCACACAGUUCGGAUUGUGUUGUCCAUUGCAACAAACUUGGAGUGGGAUUUGUGGCAGAUGGAUGUGAAGAAUGCUUUCUUACAAGGUGAGCUAGAAGAUGAGGUAUACAUGCUUCCUCCUCCUGGUCUUGAGCAUCUAGUAAAACCAGGAAAUGUUUUGAGAUUGAAGAAGGCAAUAUAUGGGCUGAAGCAGUCUCCUAGAGCUUGGUACAGAAAGCUGAGUACAACUCUCAAUGAGAGAGGAUUCAGGAAGUCUGAACUGGAUCAUACACUCUUCACUUUGGUUACUCCAUCAGGGAUCAUUGUGAUACUGGUAUAUGUGGAUGAUUUGAUUAUCACAGGGAGUGAUAAGGCUGGGAUUAAAGCCACUAAAGAGUUCCUCAAGUCUGUGUUUGAUAUCAAAGACUUGGGAGAGAUGAAGUAUUUCUUGGGGAUUGAGAUAUGCAGAUCCAAGGAGGGUUUGUUUAUGUGUCAAAGGAAGUAUACAAUGGAUAUGUUGAAGGAGACUGAUGUACUUGGAGGAAAGGUAGCCAAGACACCUCUUGAAGAGGGGUAUAAGGUCUUACGUGAGGGGGAGGUUGAAGAGAACCAGUUGUUUGAGGAUGCUAAGCUGUAUAGGAAGAUGGUUGGCAAGCUGAUCUACUUGACUAUUACCAGGCCAGAUAUAUGCUUUGCUGUGAAUCAAGUGAGUCAACAUAUGCAGGCGCCAAAGGUCCAUCACUGGAAGAUGGUUGAUAGGAUACUGAGGUAUUUGAGUGGGACGGCUGGACAAGGAGUUUGGAUGGGCUGUAAUGGCAGUACAGAAGUGGUUGGGUAUUGUGAUGCUGAUUGGGCAGGAGAUAGAGUGGACACGAGAUCAACUACUGGGUAUUGUACAUUCAUUGGAGGGAACUUGGUUACUUGGAAGAGUAAGAAGCAGAAGGUUAUCUCUUGUUCAAGUGCUGAAGGUGAGUAUAGAGCCAUGUUGAAGCUGACAAACGAGUUGGUGUGGAUCAAGGGGAUCUUGAAGCAUCUAGAGAUUGAGCAGAGUGCUCCUAUGACUAUGCAUUGUGACAAUCAAGCAGCUAUCCACAUUGCCUCCAACUCAGUGUUUCAUGAGAGAACAAAGCACAUAGAGGUGGAUUGUCAUAAGGUGAGGCAGAUGAUUAUCCUAGGAGUGAUUCUGCCAUGUUAUACAAGAAGUGAAGAUCAGCUUGCAGAUGUGUUUACCAAGGCAGCGAGAUUGAAGACAAUGGAGUCCAUACUAUCCAGGCUUGGACUCAUUGAUCUUACUCCCAGGAGCUGAGCCCCUUAACCAUGGAAUCUCCACUCUUUUUCCCUCAUCAAAGUUUUAUCCCAAUGGGUUUUCUUUGGUGAGGUUUUUAAUGAGGGAGGUCUUCAUGGUUUCCAAGCUUGACUUGUUCCACAUGGUCAAGCUUGAGGGGGAGUGUUGAGAUGAGGUAAUAAAGAGAGGAGACAUUGAUAGAGAAAGAGGAUUGAGGCAUACAGUAACUUUGGAGUUUUACCACAGUAACUUUAGUUUUACUGUGGUAACUCAGUUAAAGCUUGGAAAGUGAUCUUGCUUCACUUUGGAGAGUUACCCAUGACCAAGGAGCUCUUGGAUAAGGAAGGAGCAGUCUGGAUAAGGUUUCCUCAAGCUAGAGAGGCUGGAGACAGGCUGUAAAGUAGACAACAUCUAGUAAAAGAUGCCAAAGGGAUCAAGCAUGUGAAGACUCCCAUUGGAUGCUUUUGGAUGGCUCUCUUUGACUACACAUGCUCUGAAUCUCUUUCUUAUCUUAUGGAUUUCGAAAUGUAUUGUCUCUCUCACAAAAAUAUGUUGUAAACCUCAUCUUUAAUAAUUAAUGGAGUUUUGAGUCUCUCUCUUUAUUCUCUCACUAAAAUCUCUUAAUCUCUUUAAUCUUUUCAUCUGAUUAUCUCUGAUUAUUUGAAUCAUGCUCUAAUACACAAAAGUGUAUACGGCGAGCCAUUUAGAUACAUCAGCAGCCUCUCCACCAUACGCCAAUGAUGAGAAUCACCAGGAAGUUGAAUAAAUCUCAUAGGAGUUGGCGAAAAGAAGUUAUCCCACUUUCAAAUCAGGUGAUUCCAGUUUCCCAGUUUG
RNAcentral lists this long non-coding RNA (16723 nucleotides) under Brassica napus (rape). RNAcentral's name for it is "long non-coding RNA (BNAP_LNC012565)". The record is from RNAcentral. Lineage: Eukaryota; Viridiplantae; Streptophyta; Magnoliopsida; Brassicales; Brassicaceae.